CCGGCGACCGGCGCACGGGUGAGUAACACGUAUGCAACCUGCCCGUCUCAGGGGGAUAAUCGUCGGAAACGGCGUCUAAUACCCCGUAUGAAGCUGGACGGCAUCGUCUGGUUUUGAAAGAAUAUCGGAGACGGAUGGGCAUGCGGCGCAUUAGCUAGUUGGCGGGGUAACGGCCCACCAAGGCGACGAUGCGUAGGGGUUCUGAAAGGAAGGUCCCCCACACUGGUACUGAGACACGGACCAGACUCCUACGGGAGGCAGCAG
This 264-nucleotide ribosomal RNA is filed under the name uncultured bacterium. RNAcentral describes it as "partial 16S ribosomal RNA". It matches the Rfam family "Bacterial small subunit ribosomal RNA", at positions 88 to 354 of the family's 1533-position model. The record is from RNAcentral.